AUUGAACGCUGGCGGAAUGCUUUACACAUGCAAGUCGAACGGCAGCACGGGGCAACCUGGUGGCGAGUGGCGAACGGGUGAGUAAUAUAUCGGAACGUGCCCAAUCGUGGGGGAUAACGUAGCGAAAGUUACGCUAAUACCGCAUACGAUCUACGGAUGAAAGCGGGGGAUCGCAAGACCUCGCGCGAAUGGAGCGGCCGAUAUCAGAUUAGGUAGUUGGUGGGGUAAAGGCUCACCAAGCCAACGAUCUGUAGCUGGUCUGAGAGGACGACCAGCCACACUGGAACUGAGACACGGUCCAGACUCCUACGGGAGGCAGCAGUGGGGAAUUUUGGACAAUGGGCGCAAGCCUGAUCCAGCCAUUCCGCGUGCAGGAUGAAGGCCUUCGGGUUGUAACUGCUUUUGUACGGAACGAAACGGUCUGCCCUAAUACGGCAGGCUAAUGACGGUACCGUAAGAAUAAGCACCGGCUAACUACGUGCCAGCAGCCGCGGUAA
RNAcentral lists this ribosomal RNA (497 nucleotides) under uncultured bacterium. RNAcentral's name for it is "bacterial SSU rRNA". It matches the Rfam family "Bacterial small subunit ribosomal RNA", at positions 30 to 523 of the family's 1533-position model. The record is from RNAcentral.